CUGCUCACUUUGGCAACAUCUAUACUAACAUUGGAAUGACAGAGAUUAGUAUGACCCCUCUACAAGGAUGACACGCACAUUCAUGAUGGAAUUAAUGAGUCC
This 102-nucleotide small nuclear RNA is filed under the name Rhinopithecus bieti (black snub-nosed monkey). Lineage: Eukaryota; Metazoa; Chordata; Mammalia; Primates; Cercopithecidae. The record is from RNAcentral.